RNAcentral lists this ribosomal RNA (492 nucleotides) under uncultured bacterium. Its description in RNAcentral is "partial 16S ribosomal RNA". It matches the Rfam family "Bacterial small subunit ribosomal RNA", at positions 30 to 507 of the family's 1533-position model. The record is from RNAcentral.
AGUGAACGCUGGCGGUAGGCCUAACACAUGCAAGUCGAACGGCAGCACAGUAAGAGCUUGCUCUUACGGGUGGCGAGUGGCGGACGGGUGAGGAAUACAUCGGAAUCUACUUUUUCGUGGGGGAUAACGUAGGGAAACUUACGCUAAUACCGCAUACGACCUACGGGUGAAAGCAUGGGAUCUUCGGACCUUGCGCGAUUGAAUGAGCCGAUGUCGGAUUAGCUAGUUGGCGGGGUAAAGGCCCACCAAGGCGACGAUCCGUAGCUGGUCUGAGAGGAGGAGAGGCGACAGGGGGAGUGAGACACGGUCGAGGAUCCGACGGGAGGCAGCAGUCGGGAAUCGUACGGAAGGGACGAGAGUCUGACGGAGCAAUGACGAGUGAGUGAUGAAGGUUUGCGGAUCCGAAAACUCUGUUGUGAGGGAAGAAGAAGUACGAGAGGAACUGCUCGUACCGUGACGGUAACUAAUAAGAAAGCCACGGCUAGCUACGUG